GUGAUCCUCCUGCCUCAGACUCCCAAGUAGGUGAAACUACAGAUCCUGGAAGAAUGCAAAAGAAACUAAUAACGCUGGUUACCAGUGGGUAAGGAAGGAAGGGCGUAUGAGAACAGGAUGGAGGUGGAGUCUUACUCUCUCACUUAGAGUGCAGUGCCGCAAUGACAAAGCCCACUCCAGCUUCAAACUCCUGUGCUCAAGUAAAUCUCCCACCUAGUAUGUGUGAUUAUAGGCAUGAGCUACCAUGCCUGGCAUUUCUGUAAGGCCUAAAUAAUGUCUCAACAAUCCUUUCCUACUCCCCAACUCUGGUGAUGGUCCUCUUCUCUGAGUUCUGUAGCACAUACCAUCAUUGACACUUAGCAUACGCUACUUUUCACACAUUACUGUAUUCCUUUUUUAAAAAAUUAGGCCCUCUUCCUCAGUUCAGUCAAAAAAGCUGAUUCUAAACAAUGACAAUAUAACAUUUGAAGAGACUAGUAAUAGUCUUUAGCAGCUGUAAAGGACUCAAAUAACUCAGCCUAGUUAUUUCUUUUUCAUGCAUACAUCUUAUCUCACAUCUAGACUACAGGCACUUCAUCUUAUACCAACUUACAUUUUGGUUUUUAGGACAAUGUUCUCUACAUUAAUACAUGAUUAAUGAAUACUUAUUGAUGCUAAUAAAGAUGAUCAUGAUAAGGUCAAGAAAACAAGCCUGACUUCAAUGUGUUUGGACAUCUACCAUAAGAUUCAGUAAAAUCAAUCUCUUUUGCAGGCAUUCUGCAGGC
Long non-coding RNA from Macaca mulatta (Rhesus monkey), 764 nucleotides. RefSeq lists it as uncharacterized. Lineage: Eukaryota; Metazoa; Chordata; Mammalia; Primates; Cercopithecidae. The record is from RefSeq and is a predicted model, not a curated record.